This 227-nucleotide ribosomal RNA is filed under the name Triticum aestivum (bread wheat). Its description in RNAcentral is "partial small subunit ribosomal RNA". The record is from RNAcentral. Lineage: Eukaryota; Viridiplantae; Streptophyta; Magnoliopsida; Poales; Poaceae.
AAUAAGAGAUAUUGUGAUAUCCCAACAAUAUAUCCAUGUUCCAACAUGGAACAAACUCCAAUCUUCACCUGCAACUAACAACGCUAUAAGAGGGGCUGAGCAAAGCGGUAACAUAGCCAAACAACGGUUUGCUAGGACAAGUUGGGUUAGAGGCUUGGCUCAACAAUAUGGGAGGCAUGAUAAGCAAGUGGUAGGUAUCGCAGCAUAGGCAUAGCAAAAGAGCGAGC